AUGGCGAUUUGUAGUUCACUUCAUCUUUCUACUACCCUGCAAGCCUUAUUAAUCUUUGUUGUGCUUGCAGUACUCUUACGUGAUGUUCAUGGGCGACACCACUGUGAUACUUUCUCCUGUGGACAUCUCCAUAAUAUAUCACAUCCUUUCCGCCGGCAAGGGGAUCCACAUGGGUGCGGUGUUCAAUCAUAUGAGCUGGUUUGCACCGAGAACAAGCCCAAAAUUCAGAUCAACACAGCGACAUAUUUUGUCACUGAGAUCAACUACACCGAUUCGUCCUUCCGGGUCGUUGAUGUCAACUUGGACAUGAACAGCAGCUGCCCUCUUCCUCGCUGGGAUGAGCUUCCUUAUUUCAACGGGAUCCAAAGGUCAGACAAAGACCAGAGCUGGGAAUUGCUCCCUAUGUAUACAGACACAGUGGGUAGCUUUGUGAAUUGCUCGCAGGCGGUGUCACUAACAAAUGAAUUUUAUCAGUAUUCGUACACAUCGGUCCCUUGCCUGAGCAACAACCACUCUUUUGUUUAUAUAGUGACUGAUACUGUGCCUAUUGAAUACUUAGCGCCUUCUUGCGGGUACCUGGCCAUGUUUCUUUUGAGUGAUCCGGGUCCUGGUAACUACUACAAUUUCAGCCAUUAUGCAGAUUUUGUAAAACACCUGAGGCUUGGAUUCUCUGUUCGAUUCCCUCUGCUGGAUCCUCCAAUGAGCAUUAUUGGGCGAAUCAACUUCUGCCUCAACGAGUCGUUUCGCGACCGAAAUCAUGUUACAGGCAACAACAUCAAGAGUUGGACCAUGGACAUCCUUCUUAUGGACUUCAGUUUCUGGGCAUGCAUAUUUGGUGUAAAUUUAAAUAGUAACAAUAUGCUUCUGUACAUGAGGGUCAUGAUUCAUGAUGAUCAAUCAUUUCAUCAUGUUCUGCCCCCAGUAUUUGCUCUGGUGAUUGCGAAGUGGAUUGCUGUACUUUGCAGGAUCCUGCUAGCGCCCCUAGCAGUAUUGAUGUUCCUUGCCCAAAAGUACUGGAAAACAAGGAUCACAAUUGAUGCGGUUGAAAAGUUCCUCCAGAUGCAACAAAUGAUCGGGCCGACGAGGUACGCCUACACAGACAUCGUUGCAUUGACAAGCCACUUCAGAGACAAGCUGGGCCAAGGUGGUUAUGGCUCCGUCUUCAAGGGCGUGCUACUCCCAGGCAAUGUCAAUAUCGCUGUCAAGAUGCUUGAGGGCAGCUCCAACUGCAACGGAGAAGACUUCAUCAGUGAGGUCUCCACCAUCGGCAGGAUCCACCAUGUCAAUGUGGUCCGUCUCGUGGGGUUCUGCUCAGAGGAAAUGAGAAGGGCUCUUGUUUACGAAUACAUGCCUCGAGGUUCUCUUGACAAGUACAUCUUUUCAGCCCAGAAGAGUUUUUCUUGGGACAAGCUCAAUGAGAUUGCUUUGGGCACUGCCCGAGGGAUCAACUACCUGCAUCAGGGGUGCGAAAUGCAGAUUCUGCACUUCGACAUCAAGCCACACAACAUCCUUCUUGACAACAAUUUUGUCCCAAAAGUUGCUGAUUUUGGACUUGCCAAACUGUACCCAAGGGACAACAGUUUUGUGCCAUCUAAUGCCUUACGUGGGACUGUUGGGUACAUAGCUCCUGAGAUGAUAUCUCGGAGCUUUGGUACCAUAUCAAGCAAGUCUGAUGUUUACAGCUUCGGGAUGCUGCUUCUGGAGAUGGCCGGAGGAAGAAGGAACGCUGAUCCAAAUGCCGCGAACUCAAGCCAGUCUUAUUACCCAUCAUGGGUGUAUGACAAACUAACUGCACAAGAGGCGGAUGCUAUAUCUCUGGUUGCUGACAUGCAUGAGUUGGAGAGAAAGCUGUGCAUUGUUGGAUUAUGGUGCAUUCAGAUGAAGUCUCAUGACAGGCCGACAAUGAGCGAGGUCAUAGAGAUGCUGGAAGGUGGCUUCGAUGGCCUGCAAAUGCCUUCCAGGCCAUUCUUCUGCGACGACGAACACACCGCCGUUCCGGAUUCAUACCCUUUGCUAUCCGAGCUGACCGAGAUCUCAGCGGAGGAUGAGAUCUCGGAUUCUUAUGUUUCCCGGGUCCUGUGA
This 2082-nucleotide ribosomal RNA is filed under the name Triticum aestivum (bread wheat). RNAcentral describes it as "partial small subunit ribosomal RNA". The record is from RNAcentral. Lineage: Eukaryota; Viridiplantae; Streptophyta; Magnoliopsida; Poales; Poaceae.